AUAGGUGACAGGUGCUGCAUGGCUGUCGUCAGCUCGUGUCGUGAGAUGUUGGGUUAAGUCCCGCAACGAGCGCAACCCUCGCCUUUAGUUGCCAGCAUUUAGUUGGGUACUCUAAAGGAACCGCCGGUGAUAAGCCGGAGGAAGGUGGGGAUGACGUCAAGUCCUCAUGGCCCUUACGCGUUGGGCUACACACGUGCUACAAUGGCGACUACAGUGGGCAGCC
Molecule: ribosomal RNA, 223 nt
Filed under: uncultured Sphingobium sp.
Lineage: Bacteria; Pseudomonadati; Pseudomonadota; Alphaproteobacteria; Sphingomonadales; Sphingobiaceae
Description: partial 16S ribosomal RNA
Rfam family: Bacterial small subunit ribosomal RNA
Source: RNAcentral